GGUGACUUUGGGAUUGCUUGCUGAGCAGUAUCUGGGAAGAUAUCUUCCCUUUGUGUUCAGCCACACCAUCUCCUCUGCCCCCUUCCUGGUCACAGGCCACCGCUGCACUGCACGGAAGUUGCAGAGAGGAGUGUUCAUGGUGCUGUGGCCACAGGUAGGGAGGAAGAGGGCUGGCUGAGAAAGGUUGGGUGAUAGUGCAUCAGCUCUCUGGAGCCUUCCCAAGGGAAGCCACAACCAGAUGUGCUGGUGGUGUUGCAGUAGAACUCCAGGGAGAGAGUUAAUGGGGACCCUUUGAUCCUCAUCUCCAAGGCAGGUGGAGCGAGGUGGCCAGGUUUGCUCAGCGAGUGGGUGGUGGAUGAGGAAAGGGCAAGACUUAUCCUGAAGGCUGAUGGCAGCAGGAUCCCUCCCUGAGGAACAAGGCAGCAACUGAGGUGCAAGGGAUAGAGAGACCAUGGGAUUUGUCCCAAAUAUUUGGACAUGGGUUUUGUUAUCAGCAGCUCCUGCAAGAGGAGGCAAAGGCCCUGCCAUGGGCAGAAGCGGGCCCUGAGAAGGCAGGGCUAACAAGCACCACUCGCUGGCACCCAAAGCCAAGAAUUCAGAAGCAAUGUGGAUAACAAUUUUGGCAGAAAGAGCGAGUGAGGUGCUCCUCCCGUUUCCCCACUGCCUCGCUUCUUGGGUGGCCAUCUGCCUGGGGCAGAAAGGGAGCGUGAAACACUGCACGAUCAGGUGGGAGAGGAACGGUCAGGUGUGGGACGGGAGGAAAGAGCAAGAAGGGGUAGGAAAUCAUGAUCCUAUCCCCACCGCCCACUCAGCUUCAUGCCAGCUUCCUUCUCCACUCGCUCUGGCUCCCAUCACGGCCCCGUGGGGCUCAGCACCCUUCUCCAGCCCUGUGUGCAGGCUGGGGCACAGGCCCAAGUCACAGGUUCAGGCCCACCGGGCUGAGCGCCUGCACGUGCUCCUUUGUGCAGAGCAGCAGCGAGGGGAGGGGAAGGUCAGUGCCAGCUUUUCCCAGGCUUUGCACUGUGCUUCUCCUCGCAGGGAGCUCUGCAGGGAGGAGGAGAGAAAAGAGGAGGUAUCAGAUGCUGUUCAACAGAAACUUGAAACUGAGCAUAAGCGUAAGGUAGGUACCGUGUCUCUUUGCCGCUCACAGACACAAAACCCACUCCCUUCCUUUUUCUCUUGGUCAGUCUUUGGUUGCUGA
This 1201-nucleotide long non-coding RNA is filed under the name Numida meleagris (helmeted guineafowl). Its description in RNAcentral is "lncRNA (ENSNMEG00000022924.1)". The record is from RNAcentral. Lineage: Eukaryota; Metazoa; Chordata; Aves; Galliformes; Numididae.